This 493-nucleotide ribosomal RNA is filed under the name uncultured bacterium. RNAcentral describes it as "partial 16S ribosomal RNA". It matches the Rfam family "Bacterial small subunit ribosomal RNA", at positions 28 to 507 of the family's 1533-position model. The record is from RNAcentral.
GACGAACGCUGGCGGUGUGCUUAACACAUGCAAGUGGUGCGACGAACCAGAGCUUGCUCUGGGGCAAAGCCGCGAACGGGUGAGUAACACGUGGGUAAUCUACCCCGAUGACCGGGACAACCCGAGGAAACUCGGGCUAAUACCGGAUGUGGUGCGGAAACAUAAGUCUCUUCACUAAAGGUAGCUUCGGCUUCCGCAUUGGGAGGGGCCCGCGGCCCAUUAGCUUGUUGGUGGGGUCAAGGCCUACCAAGGCAACGAUGGGUAGCUGGUCUGAGAGGACGAUCAGCCACACUGGGACUGAGACACGGCCCAGACUCCUACGGGAGGCAGCAGUGGGGAAUCUUGCGCAAUGCGCGAAAGCGUGACGCAGCAACACCGCGUGAGGGAAGAAGGCCUUAGGGUUGUAAACCUCUUUCAGAUGGGACGAAGGUUCUCCGGUGAAUAGCCGAGAGGAUUGACGGUACCGUCAGAAGAAGCUCCGGCUAACUACGUG